CUCGUAGGCGGCCUGUCGCGUCUGGUGUGAAAGCCCGUGGCUUAACUGCGGGUCUGCGCUGGAUACGGGCGGGCUAGAGUGCGGUAGGGGAGAAUGGAAUUCCCGGUGUAACGGCGGAAUGUGUAGAUAUCGGGAAGAACACCAAUGGCGAAGGCAGUUCUCUGGGCCGUGACUGACGCUCAUGCACGAAAGCGUGGGGAGCAAACAGGAUUAGAUACCCUUGUA
This 225-nucleotide ribosomal RNA is filed under the name uncultured Aeriscardovia sp. RNAcentral describes it as "partial 16S ribosomal RNA". It matches the Rfam family "Bacterial small subunit ribosomal RNA", at positions 568 to 792 of the family's 1533-position model. Lineage: Bacteria; Bacillati; Actinomycetota; Actinomycetes; Bifidobacteriales; Bifidobacteriaceae. The record is from RNAcentral.